AAGAGCGGAAUUGCUAGAUCAUUAGAAAUAGCAUUUUCAUGGACCUGACUCUGCCACAUAUAUUAUAUAGGAGCUGGGAAAGGCUUGAUGAUAAGAUCUCUCUCUAACCUUUCCUGCAUCAGAGAUUGGCUCCCACAUGU
This is a small nucleolar RNA of Pipistrellus kuhlii (Kuhl's pipistrelle), 140 nucleotides long. RefSeq annotates it as small nucleolar RNA SNORA12. The record is from RefSeq and is a predicted model, not a curated record. NCBI's taxonomy places the organism in Eukaryota, Metazoa, Chordata, Mammalia, Chiroptera, Vespertilionidae. The transcript has a single exon.